GGGGGGUCAUGCCCUUCUAACAUGUUGUCUAUUUGCUGGGGUUCACCCGCCCCUCCCAACAACUAUUUGGUUUAUAGUAGUAUUUUAGGUCUUGCCCUAGCAAACUUCUUUCUGUUCUCAAAGACCACUAGCGCUUACACAAAUGGCAGGUGAUGGUGACUGGCUUUUUCAAGUGAAAUUAGCGUUGCUGGAUGCGAGAGGUGUGACAGAACUGGAACAGACGGGGUGAGUGCAAGCAGGUGCUGGACUACCUCUCCCCACCGCUUAGGGCACUAGCCUAGGAUUGCGGGGAUCUGGGUUCAAGUCCUUCUGACUCCUCAGGUGAAGAAUAAUUUCGCAACUCCAUGUGUCUAGCAAAUGUAACUCCAUUGAGCAUUACCCUGGCUGGCUCUAGCACUGUCUUCUCUGCACACAGCUGUGCCACCAAAGUGGCAGAGGGGCAUCGUCCUGACCUCUGGGUGGCAGUGCUUAGGCGGAGAUAAAGUGUCUCAGAGAUUUGGCCUUGGGAAGCAAUGGGAAGGCACCUAAUGCAUCACUCACUGCACUUAGCAGCAUGACAAGGUGGGAGUAACAACCAAGGCCUGAUGAUUAGCACUUGUGCCGGCUGCAGUGUCCAUUGCCACGGUGAAACAAAGCCAGAAAAGAUCAUGGAGAUGCACACAUCUAUACACGCACCGAUUUGCUAGCUUUUUUUAUGGAUGUAGGAGUGCAUGGUAUUCAUUGGUAAAGCUGGAAACCGACACUUGCAGGAAGACAUUCCACAUUCCAGAAUAAAUGCACACUGGGGUCCAAGACCAGCCAUGGAAAUGAUCUCGUUAUGUCUUGUAAUUAAUGAGCUAGAGCUGGGGUGCAUGCCGCAAAGACAACUGCACAAAGUCACGUUUCUUGAAAUUCAAAUUUUGAAAUUCACCUGGCACACUGAGAUCCAGAUCUCAACUGCAGCCUCUAGGUACAAACAUAAUAUGAUCCACAAUAAUAAUGAAAUCACAAGUUUUAAAUUGGGGUUGACA
Mauremys mutica (yellowpond turtle) is the source of this 1010-nucleotide long non-coding RNA. RefSeq lists it as uncharacterized. NCBI's taxonomy places the organism in Eukaryota, Metazoa, Chordata, Testudines, Geoemydidae. The record is from RefSeq and is a predicted model, not a curated record. The transcript is spliced from 5 exons.